RNAcentral lists this ribosomal RNA (494 nucleotides) under uncultured bacterium. RNAcentral describes it as "partial 16S ribosomal RNA". It matches the Rfam family "Bacterial small subunit ribosomal RNA", at positions 30 to 507 of the family's 1533-position model. The record is from RNAcentral.
AUUGAACGCUGGCGGCAUGCUUUACGCAUGCAAGUCGAACGGCAGCGGGGAGGAGCUUGCUUCUCUGCCGGCGAGAGGCGAACGGGGGAGUAAUACACCGGAAAGUGUCGAGAAGAGGGGGAUAACAACCAGAAAGGGUGGCUAAUACAGCAUAAAUUCUGAGGAAGAAAGAUGGGGAGCUAGGAAUAGGAUUAGCGCUUUUUGAGCGGCCGAUGUCGGAUUAGCUAGUUGGUGGGGUAAAGGCUCACCAAGGCGAAGAUCUGUAGCUGGUCUGAGAGGAUGAUCCGCCACACUGGGACUGAGACACGGCCCAGACUCCUACGGGAGGCAGCAGUGGGGAAUUUUGGACAAUGGGGGCAACCCUGAUCCAGCCAUGCCGCGUGUAUGAAGAAGGCCUUAGGGUUGUAAAGUACUUUUGUUAGGGAAGAAAAGUCGGCUGUUAAUAAUCGCUUGUACUGACGGUACCUAAAGAAUAAGCACCGGCUAACUACGUG